CCCACUUAAAUGAAUCGUAAAUAGUCAAUUAGAACAAUGGCAAAAAUCGUAAAUAGAGAGUGGUAAAUUUUGAUAAGUGCUGAGGGUGGAAAGGUCUUUUGAAAAAAAAAAAAUUCCACUAACAAUCAGACUUGCGCUUCCCGUGUAAGCCAUCAAAGAACCAUUUUUCUUUGGGAGUUUUCUAGAACAAGUGAGACGGUGAGUGGUGGAUGAUGGGUGGCUUGGGUAGUGAGUCCGGCUGGGUCAAAAUAGUUUGAAGCUUAUGAUUGUUGUGUCUACAGCUGGGUUUUCUCUUGUGAAGUGUUGGAAGGACGAUUUGUAGUACAAGGGUGUGAGAAACUCUUUAAGGUAAGACUUUGAUCUUUUGAUUUAAAUUUCUGGGUGAAGUAAAUGGUUCUUGAUGGAGAUGUCCCUUGCUUGUGAUGUUGUGAUUACUAAGAAUAGAGACUAGGGCCAUGCUCAAGAAUGUUCUUGAAGGGAAAUUGAAGACUUACGUUUACGAAGAUAUAUGAGCUGCUGGAAUUUUUGUUGAAGUUGGAAAUUUGGUGGAAAUACACAGGUGAAUCAGGUGAAUAAAAAAAAAAUCAUCAUCAAGGAGGCAAGGAAAGUAAUAAAGCUUUCAAGGGUGACUAGUUGACCGGUGAACUACGCGACUACUGGAGGAAUUAGAUAGUGUUUUAAUUGCUAAUACCAGAUAUAGUUGAUCCAGUAGAGCCAGAUCUUCCUACAGCCAGAUAGACUUUCAACCUCCUUAUUCUGGUGAGCCCAGCACUUAUAGUGCGGGUGUGAUUAAGUAUUAUUUUGGACUCAUGUAUCACCGUAUUUUAUCGACUCUAGAUGCUCCGUUAACUACAGAUAAGGUAUAAUGAUAUGUAAGGCUAUGGGCCAGACUGUGUUGUAGGUAUUUUCAUAUCACGUAUGUUUUGUUUAUUUGAUUAUAUUAGUGCCAAACCACCUGUUCAGAGGCU
Long non-coding RNA from Tripterygium wilfordii, 968 nucleotides. RefSeq lists it as uncharacterized. The transcript has 5 exons. Lineage: Eukaryota; Viridiplantae; Streptophyta; Magnoliopsida; Celastrales; Celastraceae. The record is from RefSeq and is a predicted model, not a curated record.